ACACUACUGGUGGGUAGCAAAACAGCAGCUAGAAUCUAUAGCUUCUGGCUUUCCAGCCAGUCCUUGUUCCACUACAUUCAUUACUUCUUUGCUGGACUGAAAAGCUUAGGACUUUUCCUGUAAGUAAUACGGAGCCAUUGAAGAUCUGAAGUUUCAAGGAAGUGGUAGGAUGGAUUCUCUUUUACUAUAAGGUUGUGAGGGAAGAAGUUGCCUCUUCUCAUGGGUGCUUUCCCGUUGGUGCCCAGUGGACAGGCUUCCACAGCCUCUCAUGGUAUUUGUCAGAUGAAUGAACAAAUGAAAAGAGAAAAGAACACACUGAAGAGUUCUGUCGCAGCUGAGGCUGCCCUGGGCUGAAUAUGUCAUCUUCUUCCAGAAGCCAUGGUCCUCCUCAGUGCCUUCUAAGGCAAGCCACACGUGGGGACUUUGGCUUUACAGGGUAUGGCCUCCAAUCAUCCCCCAGGGGAACUGCCCUGCCCACAAGCCCAGCCAUGCUCUUCCAGCAUGUCCCCCUAAAUGCCUUCUCCUCCACUACGAGGCCCUUCCUGAUAAGUACCUCGGCCCUCCAGGCCC
This 570-nucleotide long non-coding RNA is filed under the name Homo sapiens (human). RNAcentral's name for it is "non-protein coding lnc-JUN-2:10". The record is from RNAcentral. Lineage: Eukaryota; Metazoa; Chordata; Mammalia; Primates; Hominidae.